Molecule: ribosomal RNA, 796 nt
Filed under: Scorzoneroides muelleri
Lineage: Eukaryota; Viridiplantae; Streptophyta; Magnoliopsida; Asterales; Asteraceae
Description: eukaryotic LSU rRNA
Rfam family: 5.8S ribosomal RNA (bases 383-538)
Source: RNAcentral
UCCAUUGACGCGGCGACGUGGGCGGUUCGCCGCCGGCGACGUCGCGAGAAUUCCACUGAACCUUAUCAUUUAGAGGAAGGAGAAGUCGUAACAAGGUUUCCGUAGGUGAACCUGCGGAAGGAUCAUUGUCGAACCUGCAUGGCAGAACGACCGGUGAACAUGUAAAUACACCUGGUGAUGGGGAUAGGGUCCUUGGUCCUUAUCCUUUUCCCCUCCCUGCAUGCGUGUGUGGAACUCCGUUUGCGGUGCCAUGCCUGUCAUGUUGGGAUUUAACAAACCCCGGCACGGAAUGUGCCAAGGAAAACAAAAGUGAGAAGGACUCGUCUUGUCUUGCCCCGUUCGCGGUGUGCAAGUGGGUCGUGGCCUCUUUGUAAUUAAAAACGACUCUCGGCAACGGAUAUCUCGGCUCACGCAUCGAUGAAGAACGUAGCAAAAUGCGAUACUUGGUGUGAAUUGCAGAAUCCCGUGAACCAUCGAGUUUUUGAACGCAAGUUGCGCCCGAAGCCAUCCGGCUAAGGGCACGCCUGCCUGGGCGUCACGCUUCGCGUCGCCCCCCACCAUUUAUACCCAACGUGUACUAAUGGUGUGUGGGGCGGAGAUUGGCCUCCCGCACCUUUCAUGCGGUUGGCCUAAAUAUGAGUCCCCUUCAGCGGAUGCACGACUAGUGGUGGUUGAAUAGACCCUCGUCCUUAUCGUGUGUCGUGAGCUGCAAGGGAAGCCCUUACCAAAGACCCCAUUGCAUUGUUUUUAAGACAAUGCUUCGACCGCGACCCCAGGUCAGGCGGGACUACCCGGU